AUGAAUUUAUUUCUUUCCCAAUUUGGUACAAAAAAAAGAAAAAAAAAAAUAUAUUUUUUAAAAAAAUUAUUGAGUAAAAAAAAAGAAAUGGUUCAAAAUAGUAGGAACAAGACUAAGGUGAUCGAUAUGUUAUGUUUCUUAUCAAUGAGUAUAACAAAUAAAAAGUUAAAAUUACCUUUACAUAUUUAUAAAAAUAUUUUUAAACAUAUUUUUAAAUAUAUGUCAAAACCUACACACGAUAUAAAAAAGAGUAUCCAAUCUUUUUUUAAUAAUAUGUGUUUACGUAUUGUCUCUUAUGUUUUUGAAUUAGUUUUCAUCUUUUCAACUAAUUUAUAUUAUUUUACAAAAACAUUAGAUACAAAAUGUUAUAAUAAAAAAUGGAAUCUUUUUCUUUUUUUUUUUAACUUUAUUGAUGUAUAUAUUGGAUUUAUUGAAAAAUAUAAUAAAAAAAAUAAUACAUAUAUUUACUCUUUUUUAAAUUAUCUCUUUAUUCAAAUUUUUUUAUUUUUUUUUAAUUAUGAUGCUUGUACAUAUUAUGUCAUUAAAAAAAAUGGUCUUAAUGAUGAGGAUUGUAAGGAGGGUGGUUAUGAUGGUGGUGGUGGACCUACAUUUGAUUAUACAAACCAUUUGAGUGAUCAUCCAUCAGAGUAUUACAAAAAAACUAGCAAAAGCAACUUUUUUUUAAAAAAGAUAUACUACAUUAGUGAUAAAUACAUAUUGGAUAAUAACUUAUACAAUACUUUAUUACAAAUUAUACAUAGUCGUUCCCCAAUGAACAGUCUAACUUAUAUAGAAGACGUUACCUAUUUUAAGGAAUAUUAUUAUUCGUGGAUAGAGCCACAAUUAUAUAGUGAUAAAAAAGAAACUACAUUUACAAAACAGAAACAAUUUAAUACGCAUUAUUCUAACUACGCUUUAUAUAUUAUGCAACGAUUUAUUAAUGCGAACAAACCUGAGAUUAAUUGUUAUUUUUAUACUUUAUUAUUAUAUAUAGUAGCAAAAAUGCAUUUAUCAGGUAGUUAUAGAUAUAGAGAAGUUAAUUAUUUAGUAGUUUUACAUUUAUUACCUUGGUAUACUUCUCUUAUAUAUUCUAUAAAAAAUAAAUAUUUUAGUUGCUAUUUUUUUCAAACAUAUUAUGAAUGUGUUUUAAAAUUAAUACCAGAAAUAACAAUUGAAUUUAUGCAAAACGAUUUUUAUUUUUUUCAUCCCACUUGUUUAACAAUGGGAGCAGAGCAUGAUGGUUUGCUCAAGUAUAUAAAUUACAUACAUAAUGAGAGAAAAAAGGAGAGGGAAAAGGAGAGAGAAAAAACAGAAAAAUAUAGUACUAGUAUGGAUGCAAUUACUGGAACAACUAUAGAAACAAGUAGUGUACCACUCUUUAACCCCCAUACAAAUUUUAAUUUACACCUAGACAAAUACAAUGUGUAUGACAAACUAUUAAUUAUAAGUGAUAUUAUACAAAAACUGUUUUAUAAUCAACCAUCGAAUGACAAAAAUGUAUGUUUCUCUGUUUUAAACACAAAUUUAUUAAAAUAUUCUAACUUAGUAAUAUACUCUACCUUCUUAUCUAUAUUUAUAUAUAAUAAAUUAAUACAAAAAAAUGAAAUGUUAAUUAUUAAAAAAGAUUUAAUAGGAACAAUUUAUAAUUUGUAUAAUGAACAACUAUGUGCUCAUUAUAUAUCAAUGUUUCAAAACCCUUUAAAUUUAUUUUUAAAAAUACCUAAACAAUUAUCUAUAAAGUUAGUAGAAUAUAAUCACUUAGAUACUUUUUUAUUUUUUUUGUUCAUAAAAUUUUACAAUUAUUUGUCACUAAUACCACCUAAAAUAAGACACGAUGAUGUAUUUCCUAUAAAUGUAGAAGAUGUUCAUGCACUUCAACAAGUUUCAGUAAGCCAUUAUUUUGUAAAUGUAAAAAGGGAAGCUGUAGUAGAUGUAAAUGGUAUAACAGAUGUAAAUGGUAUAACAGACAUAACGCAAUAUAACCAUCCGAACACGAAUACGAAUACGAACGCGAACACAAAUGUGAAUGAACAAAAAAGGUACAAUAAUAAUAUAAGUAAUUCUUCUAAGUAUAUUUUUAAAGAUGUAGAUUUUUUUUUAAAAAAAAUGACAAGUCUUGUUAAAACAUUCGAAAUAAAUAAUUUACAAGGACUAUAUGAAUCUGGCUUUGAUAUAAAAAGUGCAUUAUAUUUAUCAAUUUAUUUAACUCCUUCUAUUAUAGAAAAUAUAUUUUUUUAUUUGGAUAAUAAUAUUAAAGCUUUGACAACUGAUCGUAAUUACUUAGAAAAGAACUUAGAAUAUUAUAGCAAAAUUUGUAUAAGUAAAAAAAAUAGGGACCGUGAUGAUGGUACUGUCACUUCCGCCACCAUUACCACUACUCCUACCACUACUCUUACCGUAACAGAUACAACAUUAGAGCCAUACAACAUUUUGGAUAAAACAACGUUUCAUUUACAAUUAGUAGUUUUUUAUGUUAUUAUUAAUGCUGGUAAUAAAAUAAUAAAUAUAAAAACAUAUGUAAAUAAAAUAUGUACUUAUUUUAACGAAUGUUUGGUAUUAGCAUAUACAGAAGAAUAUUUAAAAACUUUUAUUAUUUCGAUUAUACCUAUCAUGCUUCAAUAUUUUUAUUUUUUUCCUUCUUAUAUACACUCUGUUUUAUCAAUUUUAUCAUCCAAAAUAGAUAAUUACGAACAAAAUGAGUUUUUAGAACAUAUGCAAAUAUUUCAAAGAAAGGUAACUGCAAUAUUAGCAACUUCAUAUAAAUACAGUAAAGAUGAUGCGGAUGACGACGAUGUUGAUUCGUAG
Long non-coding RNA from Piliocolobus tephrosceles (Ugandan red Colobus), 2805 nucleotides. The record is from Ensembl. Lineage: Eukaryota; Metazoa; Chordata; Mammalia; Primates; Cercopithecidae.